GCCAACGAUCUGUAGCUGGUCUGAGAGGAUGAUCAGCCACACUGGGACUGAGACACGGCCCAGACUCCUACGGGAGGCAGCAGUGGGGAAUUUUGGACAAUGGGCGAAAGCCUGAUCCAGCCAUUCCGCGUGCAGGAUGAAGGCCCUCGGGUUGUAAACUGCUUUUGUACAGAACGAAAAAGCUCUGGCUAAUACCUGGAGUCCAUGACGGUACUGUAAGAAUAAGCACCGGCUAACUACGUGCCAGCAGCCGCGGUAAUACGUAGGGUGCAAGCGUUAAUCGGAAUUACUGGGCGUAAAGCGUGCGCAGGCGGUUUUGUAAGACAGAGGUGAAAUCCCCGGGCUCAACCUGGGAACUGCCUUUGUGACUGCAAGGCUGGAGUGCGGCAGAGGGGGAUGGAAUUCCGCGUGUAGCAGUGAAAUGCGUAGAUAUGCGGAGGAACACCGAUGGCGAAGGCAAUCCCCUGGGCCUGCACUGACGCUCAUGCACGAAAGCGUGGGGA
RNAcentral lists this ribosomal RNA (503 nucleotides) under uncultured bacterium. RNAcentral's name for it is "bacterial SSU rRNA". It matches the Rfam family "Bacterial small subunit ribosomal RNA", at positions 272 to 767 of the family's 1533-position model. The record is from RNAcentral.